Molecule: ribosomal RNA, 398 nt
Filed under: uncultured bacterium
Lineage: Bacteria
Description: bacterial SSU rRNA
Rfam family: Bacterial small subunit ribosomal RNA
Source: RNAcentral
GGAAUAUUGGACAAUGGGCGAAAGCCUGAUCCAGCCAUGCCGCGUGGAUGAAGAAGGCCCUAGGGUUGUAAAGUCCUUUCGGCGGGGAAGAUAAUGACGGUACCCGCCGAAGACGCCCCGGCUAAUUUCGUGCCCGCAGCCGCGGUAAUACGAAAGGGGCUAGCGUUGUUCGGAAUUACUGGGCGUAAAGCGCACGUAGGCGGCUUGGUAAGUCGGGGGUGAAAUCCCGGAGCUCAACUCCGGAACUGCCUUCGAAACUGCUAGGCUAGAGGAUGCGAGAGGUUGGCGGAAUUCCGAGUGUAGAGGUGAAAUUCGUAGAUAUUCGGAAGAACACCAGUGGCGAAGGCGGCCAACUGGCGCAUUUCUGACGCUGAGGUGCGAAAGCGUGGGGAGCAAAC